RNAcentral lists this long non-coding RNA (858 nucleotides) under Nicotiana benthamiana. RNAcentral describes it as "long non-coding RNA (NBEN_LNC012261)". The record is from RNAcentral. Lineage: Eukaryota; Viridiplantae; Streptophyta; Magnoliopsida; Solanales; Solanaceae.
AACAAGUACAUCUAGACCUUUCCAAUUGAUUCAUGUAGAUACUUGGGGCCCUUAUCACACUCCCACCUCUUCUGGCUCUAGAUAUUUUCUAACAAUAGUUGAUGACUUUUCUAGAGCAACCUGGACACAUUUAUUGGGGUCUAAAAACAAUGCUUUUUGCAUGCUUAACUCUUUUCUCUGUAUGGUUAAAACCCAGUUUAAUGCUGUUGUUCAAACAAUUAGGGGUGACAAUGCUUUGGAAUUGGGGUCUAGUAUUGCGCAUCCUUUUUUAGUCAACAAGGCAUUAUUCAUCAAACAACUUGUCCACAUACUCCUCAACAGAAUGGUGUUGUUGAAAGGAAACAUAUGACUCUUCUUGAAACUUGUAGAGCUUUACUCUUCCAAUCUGGUUUACCCAUCUCUUUCUGGGGAGAUUGCCUAUUGACUGCUACAUACCUUAUUAACAGANNNNNNNNNNNNNNNNNNNNNNNNNCUAUUGACUGCUACAUACCUUAUUAACAGAAUACCCUCCAGGCUCCUUCAAGGCAAAUCCCCUUAUGAAAUUUUGCAUGGAAAGGCACCUACUUAUUCCCAUUUAAGGGCAUUUGGCUGCCUUGCCUAUGCUGCUGUCCCAAUUCCUCAAAGGGACAAGUUGAAACCUAGGGACAUUUCAUGUGUCUUCCUGGGGUAUCCUUUUGCUAAAAAAAUGUUAUAGACUGUAUGAUCUCAGUUCCAAAAGGUGCUUUGUGUCCAGGGAUGUUAUCUUUCAUGAAAAUUCUUUUCCUUUCAAAUCUGUUUCUUCUGUCACCUCUAUUCCUCCUGUUUCUCCCUCUUCUUUUCAUUUUUUUCCUCCUCUUGAGCAUUCCCUUUCUGAGCCAG